UACGAAGGUGGCAAGCGUUGUUCGGAUUUACUGGGCGUACAGGGCGCGUAGGCGGUUGGGUAAGCCCUCCGUGAAAUCUCCAGGCUUAACCUGGAACGUGCAGAGGGGACUGUUCAGCUAGAGGAUGGGAGAGGAGAGCGGAAUUCCCGGUGUAGCGGUGAAAUGCGUAGAGAUCGGGAGGGAGGCCGGUGGCGAAGGCGGCGCUCUGGAACAUUUCUGACGCUGAGGCUCGAAAGCGUGGGGAGCAAACAGG
This 253-nucleotide ribosomal RNA is filed under the name uncultured bacterium. Its description in RNAcentral is "partial 16S ribosomal RNA". It matches the Rfam family "Bacterial small subunit ribosomal RNA", at positions 524 to 776 of the family's 1533-position model. The record is from RNAcentral.